UUCUCCACUGUCAAUUAACAGGGUGACAGUGGGCCCACAACAAAUCAACUAAAAUUCAUUGGAGUGUGCCAGAUAAACAUAUCUUUGUAACGCAACAAAGGAGACAUUUAUAAAGUAAUAUGUAUGUAUAUGUACGUAGGUAUAUUUUUGAAAUUAAAUUUGGUGUUUAAGCUUUUUAUUGCCUGAUUAAAAUACAACAUGACAAUUGGUCUUAAAAUUGGUAGAAACCUUUGAUUGCAGAGGAUAAUUUGCUGAUAAAUAUCAAAUAAGGUGGAAAUAUAGAACAAUUCUUAAGAAUAAUAAAUGGAUCUCCAGGCAAAAACCCCAUGAUGAUGCACUGGCCAUUAAACUGCUGGACACCCACUUGACCUGUCAUUUAGAACAGAGAUGGACUUGUGAUUCCACCCGCAUUUCAUGGUUACCUCGGACAAUAUUUGCCUAUUAUCCACUUAGGAUACAUUUCCAAUAAAGUUAGAUGUAACGCACAGAAGGGAGCAU
Long non-coding RNA from Drosophila willistoni, 498 nucleotides. RefSeq lists it as uncharacterized. Lineage: Eukaryota; Metazoa; Arthropoda; Insecta; Diptera; Drosophilidae. The record is from RefSeq and is a predicted model, not a curated record. The transcript is spliced from 3 exons.